GCACUGGUGAGGAGUCCCAAAAUAGGACGAAACGGUCGUUCAGUGC
This 46-nucleotide non-coding RNA is filed under the name Schistosoma mansoni. The record is from RNAcentral. Lineage: Eukaryota; Metazoa; Platyhelminthes; Trematoda; Strigeidida; Schistosomatidae.